CGAUGCGUAGCCGUAGCGGCGAAAUCCAUGAUCCUAUGCUGCCGAGAAAAGCCUCUAGCGAGCUGGUACAUGGCCCGUACCCCAAACCGACACAGGUGGUCAGGUAGAGAAUACUAAGGCGAUCGAGAGAACUGUGGUUAAGGAACUCGGCAAAAUGCCCCCGUAACUUCGGGAGAAGGGGGACCAGUCCUGGUGACGACAUUUACUGUCUGAGCUGGGGUUGGUCGCAGAGACCAGAGAGAAGCGACUGUUUACUAAAAACACAGGUCCGUGCGAAGUCGUAAGACGAUGUAUACGGACUGACGCCUGCCCGGUGCUGGAAGGUUAAGAGGACCGGUCAGCCACUUCGGUGGCGAAGCUGAGAAUUUAAGCCCCAGUAAACGGCGGUGGUAACUAUAACCAUCCUAAGGUAGCGAAAUUCCUUGUCGGGUAAGUUCCGACCUGCACGAAUGGCGUAACGACUUCUCUGCUGUCUCAACCACAGACUCGGCGAAAUUGCAGUACGAGUAAAGAUGCUCGUUACGCGCGGCAGGACGAAAAGACCCCGGGACCUUCACUAUAGCUUGGUAUUGGUGUUCGGUUCGGUUUGUGUAGGAUAGGUGGGAGACUGUGAAACUCGCACGCCAGUGUGGGUGGAGUCAUUGUUGAAAUACCACUCUGACCGUAUUGGACAUCUAACCUCGGACCAUGAUCUGGUUCAGGGACAGUGCCUGGUGGGUAGUUUAACUGGGGCGGUUGCCUCCUAAAAAGUAACGGAGGCGCCCAAAGGUUCCCUCAGCCUGGUUGGCAAUCAGGUGUUGAGUGUAAGUGCACAAGGGAGCUUGACUGUGAGACGUACAUGUCGAGCAGGGACGAAAGUCGGGACUAGUGAUCCGGCACCGGCAAGUGGAAGCGGUGUCGCUCAACGGAUAAAAGGUACCCCGGGGAUAACAGGCUGAUCUUCCCCAAGAGUCCAUAUCGACGGGAUGGUUUGGCACCUCGAUGUCGGCUCGUCGCAUCCUGGGGCUGGAGUAGGUCCCAAGGGUUGGGCUGUUCGCCCAUUAAAGCGGCACGCGAGCUGGGUUUAGAACGUCGUGAGACAGUUCGGUCUCUAUCCGCCGCGCGCGUAAGAAACUUGAGGAAACCUGUCCCUAGUACGAGAGGACCGGGACGGACGAACCUCUGGUGUGCCAGUUGUUCCACCAGGAGCACCGCUGGUUAGCUACGUUCGGAAGGGAUAACCGCUGAAAGCAUCUAAGCGGGAAGCCUGUUCCAAGAUGAGGUUUCUCACCACCUAGCGUGGUUAAGGCCCCCCACAGACCAUGGGGUUGAUAGGCCAGAACUGUAAGCACAGCAAUGUGUUCAGGUGACUGGUACUAAUCGGCCGAGGACUUAC
RNAcentral lists this ribosomal RNA (1375 nucleotides) under metagenome. Its description in RNAcentral is "bacterial LSU rRNA". It matches the Rfam family "Bacterial large subunit ribosomal RNA", at positions 1564 to 2925 of the family's 2925-position model. The record is from RNAcentral.